GAUCAUGGCUCAGGAUGAACGCUAGCGGCAGGCUUAAUACAUGCAAGUCGAGGGGCAGCAUGGUGUAGCAAUACACUGAUGGCGACCGGCAAACGGGUGCGGAACACGUACAGAACCUUCCUUCGAGCGGGGAAUAGCCCAGAGAAAUUUGGAUUAAUACCCCAUAGUAUAUUGGAGUGGCAUCACUUUAGUAUUAAAGAUUUAUCACUUGAAGAUGGCUGUGCGGCUGAUUAGGUAGUUGGCGGGGUAACGGCCCACCAAGCCUGCGAUCAGUAACUGGUGUGAGAGCACGACCAGUCACACGGGCACUGAGACACGGGCCCGACUCCUACGGGAGGCAGCAGUAAGGAAUAUUGGUCAAUGGACGAAAGUCUGAACCAGCCAUGCCGCGUGGAGGAUGAAGGUCCUCUGGAUUGUAAACUUCUUUUAUAUGGGACGAAAAAAGGGCUUUCUAGCUCGUCUGACGGUACCAUAUGAAUAAGCACCGGCUAACUCCGUG
Molecule: ribosomal RNA, 499 nt
Filed under: uncultured bacterium
Lineage: Bacteria
Description: bacterial SSU rRNA
Rfam family: Bacterial small subunit ribosomal RNA
Source: RNAcentral